GUGGAAUUUUUACGAUGGCAACACUGGAAGAAUAGACUGAUGGGCUUAUCCGUUUUAUUUUACCUUCUUAUUUUUGAGUAGAACGCCAUUUUUUAUCGUUUUCUCUGUAGCAGAUAGCAGGGAACGUAAAAAAGUGUAAAAUAUGGCUAAGGAUCCUAUUCAAGCUGUGCAAAGGAAGAGAGAAUGACUUACACGUAUACAAAUGUAAACAUCACGUUUGUCAUUUCGGCCUUCAGAAAGUGAUGGGAUAUCGUUCGACGAGCUGAUGGAAUAUGACAUCACGCAUUCCUAACAUAUGUUGGCUCAAAUGAUCGGAAGCCUUCUUGCAGGGAAUGCUGCCUGGCGUUUCUUUCAAAAUCCCGAGAUAUCAGCUGCUAUUACUAAAGUUGAUAUAAAUUUGAUAAAAACGAUGCAUACAAUACUCGUAGUUGUUUCUAGUGGGCAGGAAAAUAUCUCGUUGAAUGCUAUCUUUGGUGACUUUAACAUUUCACAUCUAUUUCAACCAUUUACCUGUUAUCAGAAGAAGCGCAGGAAGCACGUAGCAAGAUUUUAAGACUUUUAGCGCACAUUUUUCUCACAAAUGCAUGUAGCAGGAAAAAACCAAACAGUUCUGACCCCAGAAGAAAACUACCACUAGAAAAGUGCAGGAUCUAACGGUAGAAGCCUUAGAGAUGAUAGUGAUGGAGAGUGGCAGUAAUAAUGAAGUUGAUGAUGAUGAUUCAGGCGAGGAAAACAAUUGCAGCGAAGAUAAUUAUGAUCAUCGAAUGUGAAAAAGCGGUAUAUAUAUUAAAAGAAAAAUUUGAACCUUAAAUAAACAAUAAUUGUUGAAAAACGA
This is a long non-coding RNA of Ceratitis capitata (Mediterranean fruit fly), 835 nucleotides long. RefSeq lists it as uncharacterized. The record is from RefSeq and is a predicted model, not a curated record. NCBI's taxonomy places the organism in Eukaryota, Metazoa, Arthropoda, Insecta, Diptera, Tephritidae. The transcript is spliced from 2 exons.